This is a long non-coding RNA of Girardinichthys multiradiatus, 2094 nucleotides long. RefSeq lists it as uncharacterized. The record is from RefSeq and is a predicted model, not a curated record. NCBI's taxonomy places the organism in Eukaryota, Metazoa, Chordata, Actinopteri, Cyprinodontiformes, Goodeidae. The transcript has 5 exons.
CUCAGGUGUAACAGCUGUUCGUCCGCCUUCAGGCUCCGCAGGUGGAGAAGCAGGACAGCGUUUCCUGGAGCCGCUCCUGCGCGCUGAUUGGUCAGCUGGACUCUGCACAUGACUCACCUUUUGUUCCUGCUGCAGAUGUUGGUGACCAGGAUGUUAAUGUUAAAGGGAGAGUGGUGGGGACACUGUGAUGAAGGAAAAGACUAACAGUAUGGAGGAAAAUCUGGUAGGUGGCGAUGAUAACAGCUCAAAAUGGAAAUGAAGAUCAUCCUGACCAUGGCUAAAACAGUGCUGGGAUUCAGGUUCUCCUUCCAGAAAAUGAUUAAAAGAUCUGAAGUUCAUCCAACACCGAUUUCCAGCUGGUUUUUUCAAGCGUUGGACUUUAUUUAGAUGGUCCAGAACACGGCAGCACGUCUGGUCUUCAAUCAGCCCAAAAGAGUCGCCUCUCUGUUCACUGAGCUCUACUGGUUACUCUUAGCCGCCAGCAUCUAAUUCACUGAUGAUAGCCUAUAGAGAACUUCAUGGAACAUCUCCCUUCUACCUGAAGGCUUCUGUCACAACUCGGCUGCUCAGGUUGACUAGCGGUGCUCACUCCACGUUCAAGACAAUCCAGACUCUUUUCAUGUGUCGUUCCAUGAUUGUGGAAUGAUCUGGCAAGUACUACCAGAACCGGGGCGUCCCUGUCUAUCUUAAAAAAAAUUCCUGAAGACCCAACGCUUCAGGGAACAUCCCUACCCUGUACUUCUCUACUACCUCUCUCUGCACUUCCUGCUCCCUAUUUCUGUCUCCUCUGGCAGAACCUGACUAGUGGUCCUUCUUCUAAGUAGCUUACCAUUAGCUUUGAUAUUCGCUGCAUUGUUAUAUUCUCAUUUGUAAGUUGCUUUGGAUAAAACCUUCUGCCAAACACAGAAACAGAAACGUAAUGAAUCAUUUUAAAAGCUCAGAGUUCAUAGAAUAAGAUCGUUUACUUUCAGAAAUACUUUGACAUGCAUUGGGAGACAUUCAAACUAUUUCUGGAUCAGAACACUUUGUAAACUCUGCAUGUUUUCAAGAUUUCAGAAACAUCUUUGGAAUAAAACACUAUUUUAGCUCAGCCUGGUUUCAUAAAGAAGGCCUUCUGCAAAGGUUUUGGUCAGAGCUAAAAGACGUCAGAUUUCUAUAAGGUUCUAAGGGCAACCAGAGCCUGAGGACCCGGCCAAGAACAUGAGACAGAACACCAAAGAAGGGAAUGUGUACCAACAGAAACUACCAAAUGACCCAGUGACAGAAAGUACAAAUACUAUAUAAAGUUGUAGAGGAGCUGUUUGGUUGUAUCGGGUUGACGGUGGAUCAGGAGGUAGGGAGUCAUCCUGUAACUGGUAGGUUGCCGAUUCAAACCCUCAUGUGUCUGUCUCAGUAGUUGUGUCCUUGAGAAAGACACUUCAUCCAUCUGCUGAUGGUGGUCAGAAGGCCCAGUGGCCCCGAUUGUAUGGAAGCCCCACUUCUGACAGUCUGUAGCUACAAUGAUGUACAUAUGUAUGAAUGGGUAGAUCACUGAUCUGUGAAGUGCUUUGGAUAAAAAGCACUCUAUAAGUUCAGGCUAUUUACCAUUUUUAUUCUGCUGCUGAUAAACAGAAGGUUUGGUCAUACUAAAUAACCUGCAGGACAACGUUUAUUGGAGCAUUCCACUGACAUUAAACUUAUGAAGAAAGUAAAAAUGAAAAUCAUUUACUGUGUGGAUUAUACCAGACAUUUAGAUUAAAAAAAAACAAGGACAGGUUCUAGCAUUUAAGAAAACCUCCAAACAGUUUCUUAUAAAAUAAAUAUGUUUUAUUACUGUGCUCAAACUGUGUAUUUUUACAACUAUGUCUGUAGUUCCCUCAUUAAUAUUACAAAGAUGUCAACAUACACAGAAAGGAGAAGUAAAUGCAUGAUUUAGAGGAUGAAGUUUCAUAACUAUGACACAAAUUUCCGUUACAAUGUGUUUGGGGAAUUACAUUCAUAACACUGAGCCUGGAGAUCCAGUUAAAGUGGCCAGUAGCAUGAGUUUGGUUUCUUUUGGUUUUCUAUUGGACACCCCUGUUCACGCUAGUCCACUGUACCUUGGAUCAGGUAUAG